UCUGGCGAUGAUGACACACUUGCCCUCACUGAGAGUGCUGCUCAGUGACGAGACUCGCACUGUGUACUCCAGAGCUGAGCCAGA
Pelodiscus sinensis (Chinese soft-shelled turtle) is the source of this 84-nucleotide small nucleolar RNA. Ensembl annotates it as small nucleolar RNA SNORD103/SNORD85. The record is from Ensembl. Lineage: Eukaryota; Metazoa; Chordata; Testudines; Trionychidae.